UACGUAGGGUGCAAACGUUGCUCGGAAUCAUUGGGCGUAAAGCGCACGUAGGUGGCUUGUUAAGUCGGGUGUGAAAUCCCUGGGCUCAACCCAGGAAGUGCACUCGAAACUGGCGAGCUUGAGUACUGAAGAGGGUCGCGGAAUUCCCGGUGUAGAGGUGAAAUUCGUAGAUAUCGGGAGGAACACCAGUGGCGAAGGCGGCGACCUGGGCAGAUACUGACACUGAGGUGCGAAAGCGUGGGGAGCAAACAGG
RNAcentral lists this ribosomal RNA (253 nucleotides) under uncultured bacterium. Its description in RNAcentral is "partial 16S ribosomal RNA". It matches the Rfam family "Bacterial small subunit ribosomal RNA", at positions 524 to 776 of the family's 1533-position model. The record is from RNAcentral.